AUGAACGCUGGCGGCGUGCCUAAUACAUGCAAGUCGAGCGAACGGACGAGAAGCUUGCUUCUCUGAUGUUAGCGGCGGACGGGUGAGUAACACGUGGAUAACCUACCUAUAAGACUGGGAUAAUUUCGGGAAACCGGAGCUAAUACCGGAUAAUAUUUUGAACCGCAUGGUUCAAAAGUGAAAGACGGUCUUGCUGACACUUAUAGAUGGAUCCGCGCUGCAUUAGCUAGUUGGUAAGGUAACGGCUUACCAAGGCAACGAUGCAUAGCCGACCUGAGAGGGUGAUCGGCCACACUGGAACUGAGACACGGUCCAGACUCCUACGGGAGGCAGCAGUAGGGAAUCUUCCGCAAUGGGCGAAAGCCUGACGGAGCAACGCCGCAUGAGUGAUGAAGGUCUUCGGAUCGUAAAACUCUGUUAUUAGGGAAGAACAUAUGUGUAAGUAACUGUGCACAUCUUGACGGUACCUAAUCAGAAAGCCACGGCUAACUACGUG
RNAcentral lists this ribosomal RNA (496 nucleotides) under uncultured bacterium. RNAcentral describes it as "partial 16S ribosomal RNA". It matches the Rfam family "Bacterial small subunit ribosomal RNA", at positions 29 to 507 of the family's 1533-position model. The record is from RNAcentral.